GACGAACGCUGGCGGCGUGCUUAACACAUGCAAGUCGAACGGUGAAGCGCCUUCCUUUUUGGUGGGUGUGGAUGAGUGGCGAACGGGUGAGUAACACGUGAGUAACCUGCCCCCUUCUUCUGGAUAACCGCAUGAAAGUGUGGCUAAUACGGGAUAUUCUGGGUCUGUCGCAUGAUGGGUCUGGGAAAGAUAUUGUUUCGGUGGGGGAUGGGCUCGCGGCCUAUCAGCUUGUUGGUGGGGUGAUGGCCUACCAAGGCGGUGACGGGUAGCCGGCCUGAGAGGGUGGACGGUCACACUGGGACUGAGACACGGCCCAGACUCCUACGGGAGGCAGCAGUGGGGAAUAUUGCACAAUGGGCGCAAGCCUGAUGCAGCGACGCCGCGUGAGGGAUGGAGGCCUUCGGGUUGUGAACCUCUUUCGCCAGUGAAGCAGGCCUGCCUCGUUUGUGGGUGGAUUGACGGUAGCUGGAUAAGAAGCGCCGGCUAACUACGUG
Molecule: ribosomal RNA, 494 nt
Filed under: uncultured bacterium
Lineage: Bacteria
Description: partial 16S ribosomal RNA
Rfam family: Bacterial small subunit ribosomal RNA
Source: RNAcentral